GACGAACCGUGCAAACGUUGUUCGGAAUCACUGGGCUUAAAGGGCGCGUAGGCGGAGUGUCUCGUCCGGGGUGAAAGCAUUCGGCUUAACCGGAUAAUGGCCUUGGAAACGGACACUCUUGAGGGGGGUAGGGGCAUGCGGAACUUCCGGUGGAGCGGUGAAAUGCGUUGAUAUCGGAAGGAACGCCGGUGGCGAAAGCGGCGUGCUGGACCCCUUCUGACGCUGAGGCGCGAAAGCCAGGGGAGCAAACGGG
RNAcentral lists this ribosomal RNA (253 nucleotides) under uncultured prokaryote. RNAcentral describes it as "partial 16S ribosomal RNA". It matches the Rfam family "Bacterial small subunit ribosomal RNA", at positions 524 to 776 of the family's 1533-position model. The record is from RNAcentral.